This 449-nucleotide ribosomal RNA is filed under the name uncultured bacterium. Its description in RNAcentral is "partial 16S ribosomal RNA". It matches the Rfam family "Bacterial small subunit ribosomal RNA", at positions 29 to 523 of the family's 1533-position model. The record is from RNAcentral.
AACGAACGCUGGCGGCAGGCUUAACACAUGCAAGUCGAACGCCCUAGCAAUAGGGAGUGGCGCACGGGUGAGUAACGCGUGGGAAUGUACCGUUUAGUGGGGGAUAACCAAGGGAAACUUUGGCUAAUACCGCAUACGCCCUUCGGGGGAAAGAUUUAUCGCUAAACGAUCAGCCCGCGUGCGAUUAGGUAGUUGGUGGGGUAACGGCCUACCAAGCCGACGAUCUCUAGCUGGUCUGAGAGGAUGAUCAGCCACUCUGGAACUGAGACACGGUCCAGACUCCUACGGGAGGCAGCAGUGGGGAAUAUUGGACAAUGGGGGCAACCCUGAUCCAGCCAUGCCGCGUGAGUGAUGAAGGCCUUAGGGUUGUAAAGCUCUUUUACCGAUGAAGAUAAUGACGGUAGUCGGAGAAAAAGCCCCGGCUAACUUCGUGCCAGCAGCCGCAGUAA